Molecule: ribosomal RNA, 425 nt
Filed under: uncultured bacterium
Lineage: Bacteria
Description: bacterial SSU rRNA
Rfam family: Bacterial small subunit ribosomal RNA
Source: RNAcentral
GAAUAUUGGACAAUGGGCGCAAGCCUGAUCCAGCAAUGCCGCGUGGGUGAAGAGGGCCUUCGGGUUGUAAAGCCCUUUUGUACGGGAAGAAAAGCUUUAGGUUAAUACCCUGAGGUCAUGACGGUACCGUAAGAAUCAGCACCGGCUAACUUCGUGCCAGCAGCCGCGGUAAUACGAAGGGUGCAAGCGUUCAUCGGAAUUACUGGGCGUAAAGCGUGCGUAGGUGGUUUGUUAAGUCUGAUGUGAAAGCCCUGGGCUCAACCUGGGAAUGGCAUUGGAUACUGGCUUACUAGAGUGCGGUAGAGGGUAGCGGAAUUUCCGGUGUAGCGGUGAAAUGCGUAGAGAUCGGAAGGAACAUCCGUGGCGAAGGCGGCUACCUGGACCAGCACUGACACUGAGGCACGAAAGCGUGGGGAGCAAACAGG